This 2199-nucleotide long non-coding RNA is filed under the name Olea europaea subsp. europaea. Lineage: Eukaryota; Viridiplantae; Streptophyta; Magnoliopsida; Lamiales; Oleaceae. The record is from RNAcentral.
CCCAUAUAACAACUGCCGUCUGUAAUUUUGUCUCUCUCCAAAAACAAAUUGCUAUUUCUCGCUAUACAGCUCACGCGUUUCAGUACUUCCACCCGUGCGUGUUUUCUACAAAUAUAUUACGAAAUUGGAGUGAUACGCUGUAGGAUUUUUGAUCGAUUAAUUUGAAAUCAAAGUAAAUUGAUGGAUUCUUCUCCUCCGCCGCCUUUCGAAUCUUCUUCAUCGCCGUCGAGUUCCGCCGCGGAACCGGUUUUAACGGCUGAGCAAAAGCGGGAAGAAAAGGAAAAGGAGAUGGUGCACAAGACUAAAGUGAUACAGUUCCUGGGACGGACCACGCCAAUUAUUCUGCAAAAUGAUAAUGGGCCAUGUCCUCUCCUUGCUAUCUGUAAAUUCAUUUUCCCUCUCUUUUAGGGCUUUACGAGCUGUCUAUACGUUUAUUGUAUGUUUGUGUAUUUUCUUUUGUUUGUAAUAAUUGUAAAUAGUUAAGUAACUUGAUUAGUUGAGAAACAAAAGAUGUGUAUACUUCAUGUUUUUCCCCUAUUUAUGCUCGCUUCUAAUGACUUGAUCCAUUUAGAAACAAGAUAACAAAACAACUUUGCUACUGAAACGAUGGAUUUGGCUAAUUUAUUCGCAAAUUAUCUGGCCUUGAAUUGGAUAGUUAUUACAUUUCGACUCCCUCCUCUGCAAGGGAUUUAUACUUUCACUUAGUUUUAAUUUAUUUACGAACUGAAUUGAUGUUGUAUGUGGUAGUAGAAGAAAAGGAGUAGUAGGUCUUCUGUACGAAAACGAAGUAUAAACACGUAGUAAAUGAUUUAUGACAAUUACUUACUAGCAUGGUUAUUUUCCAUAUAUAUAAGCAUAUAUGUAUAACUACUAUGAUUUCCCUUUUUUUGUGCUCCUUUUGAAUCAUUUUCAAUGAAGCAUGUGAAUUUUUAGAAUGGGAAUUAUGGAUUGUAUAACGCAUAGAAAAAAAUUGGCCAUUUUGUCGCAAUCUGGUUCUAUCUGAAUUACACGUUGGGUUCAGAUUUUUUAGAUUAUAAGAUGUGAACCCUGUGAAAUGUGUGGUUAAAAAGUGGAUAAAAGUUGUGGACCAAAGAGGGGCUUAAUGAAUUUCUAUUUUCCGGACAGAGUGUCUGUCAACUGUUCCCUUAUCAUUGCUAAUUCUAUUUGCUGCUGUCAGAAAUUGAGUUUUGUGGUCGUAUAAUUUUGUUUAACUUUCGAUGUUCUAUAAUCGGAUAUUCUGUUGCUAAAUGAGUAUUCUUCUAAUUCUAACUUAUAUUUCUGAGCACCAUUUUAACAUUAGUCGCUACCCUUUUUCUGUUCAGUUAUAUUUUUCUAUCCUACCUGUGCGCUAUUGUCACGGGUCAUUAUACACGUUUUUUUUAAUCUGUCCUUAGAAAAGGGUUUGGAUUGAGUUGUGUUCUUGUGGUUUGUUUAAAAUGUUACGUCUAGUGACUAUGUUUUGAAUUUUUUCAUUCUCAAAUUAUUGAACUAUUGCAUGCCCGGUGAUUGGCAAUUGUUUCAAAAGUUUGUAUUUCACAUGGCUGAAUAUUUUGGUUUAUAAAAUAUAUGGAAUUUUAUUGUCUGAUCAUAUCUAAGAUGUCCUUUUUAUUGUGUUUGAGUGACUUCUUUCUGUGGUUUAAUCAUCGCAUGUUGCGUUUGGUGAUAGGUAAUGUUCUCUUGUUAAAGAACAGCUUGAAAUUAAGUCCAGACAUUGCGGAGGUUUCCCAGGAGAAAUUGCUUUUUCUUAUUGCUGAUCGGUUAAUUGAUUCAAACAGCAACAUCAAUGUAACUGCCUUUUGCACUAUCUUGUCUAUGUUCUUUUUAGCAUGUUCAUAAAACAAUUUUAAUAAUUGAGAAUUGUAAUUUCCCUUGCUCAUCUUCAUCAUAUAUUUGACUGACUUAAUUGGGUUCCAGGACAAAGAUGCUGGAUAUGCUGAAAAUCAGCAACAGAAUAUCUCCGAUGCAAUUGAUUUGCUUCCUAGUCUUACUACUGGCAUUGAUGUAAAUAUAAAAUUUAGAAGGUAGAUUAGCUUUUAUUUUAUUUUUAUAUACUUUUUUAAUACUAUCAUAAUUUUAUGCUAGAAAUAAUGUUUUAAGCGAUUACAAGUGGGGUAUAUGGCUUGCGUGAUGCUCAGCGACCUUUUCUAUAUGUAUAAGAUUUAUCUCUAUUGCAUACAGUAUAAUUGUGAAUUAGUAGGG